GCCAGGCACGGUGGCUCAUGCCUGUAAUCCCAGCACUUUGGGAGGCCGAGACGGGUGGAUCACCUGAGGUCAGGAGUUCGAGACCAGCCUGGCCAACAUGGUGAAACCCCGUCUCUA
RNAcentral lists this non-coding RNA (117 nucleotides) under Nomascus leucogenys (northern white-cheeked gibbon). The record is from Rfam by way of RNAcentral. Lineage: Eukaryota; Metazoa; Chordata; Mammalia; Primates; Hylobatidae.